GACGAACGCUGGCGGCGUGCUUAACACAUGCAAGUCGAACGGAAAGGCCCUGCUUUUGUGGGGUGCUCGAGUGGCGAACGGGUGAGUAACACGUGAGUAACCUGCCCUUGACUUUGGGAUAACUUCAGGAAACUGGGGCUAAUACCGGAUAGGAGCUCCUGCUGCAUGGUGGGGGUUGGAAAGUUUCGGCGGUUGGGGAUGGACUCGCGGCUUAUCAGCUUGUUGGUGGGGUAGUGGCUUACCAAGGCUUUGACGGGUAGCCGGCCUGAGAGGGUGACCGGCGACAUUGGUACUGAGAUACGGCGCAGACUGCUACGGGAGGCAGCAGUGGGGAGUAUUGCACAAUGGGCGGAAGCCUGAUGCAGCAACGCCGCGUGCGGGAUGACGGCCUUCGGGUUAUAAACCGCUUUCGCCUGUGACGAAGCGUGAGUGACGGUAAUGGGUAAAGAAGCACCGGCUAACUACGUG
RNAcentral lists this ribosomal RNA (468 nucleotides) under uncultured bacterium. Its description in RNAcentral is "partial 16S ribosomal RNA". It matches the Rfam family "Bacterial small subunit ribosomal RNA", at positions 28 to 507 of the family's 1533-position model. The record is from RNAcentral.